AUUAUUUCAUACAAACAAGAAUGUCCAUAUGGGUUUUCAUAAAGAAGCCCCUUUGGUUUUUCUCUUAGCUCAUGCAUAUAAUAAUUGAGGACUUGACCCCAAUGCCCUCGAUCCUUCGAAAAACUUAUGAAAUUAGACACCAUUUAGUCCAGUUGACUAAAUUAUCUCCAAAAAUAAAAAUUUAUUUCCAUUUUUAUAGAUAACUCAAUUUUCUUAGGGAAAUUUUAGUUGAAUAUUUGUAGCUAAUAUUAUUUAUACAAGUCAUUUUAACAGGUGCCGUUUGUAUAAAGGGUCAACUUUAAUCAAAGUAAGGUGAGCCGCUAAAUCUCUAAAUUGUGCAGGAACAUGUAGCUCUGGAGAUGAAAAGCAUUGUAGCAGUCUAAAAAUCUAUUCGUAACAUUUUUAAUGAAAUUUAAAUCUCUAAAAGAGAUACAAGUCCCAAAACUAUUAUAAUGGUUUAAAUAUCCAUCUCUACUUCUAAUUAUGAAAUUUAAAGUUUUAAAAAGAUACAGAUUAAACAGAUCCAUAAACACUUGAAAAACUAAAAAAUUGACAGUACAAAGAAUUUGUUACAAAACAAACCACUUUCAGGACUAAAUUUUUAUUUAUUUAUUUUUCACAUCCAUAAAUCUCGAGGAUGAAAUGAUCAAACUGAGUUAUAUAAUGGGAAAGCAAGAGGCGUUGGAGGACAUUCCCAUUUGCUAAACGUGUGCUUGGUGGGGUUGGGUUUCACAUGAAUACUAUUUAUCUUUCUUUAAUUAUUGUUGUCCUUCAUGAUGUACGUGUAGAGAGAGAGAG
This 798-nucleotide long non-coding RNA is filed under the name Amborella trichopoda. RNAcentral's name for it is "long non-coding RNA (ATRI_LNC002100)". The record is from RNAcentral. Lineage: Eukaryota; Viridiplantae; Streptophyta; Magnoliopsida; Amborellales; Amborellaceae.